UUCAUUUAGAUCUUAACUCAAAUCGAUUGAACUACCCUUAUACCAAAAAAAUCACAUGAGCUGCCCCACUCUAUAUUUUUAGGUUUUUUUUCCAAUUAGUGUUAAAUAAAUAAGACACGCUCAUUGUAGGACAAAGAGUUACCUAUAAAUUAUAAUUCUACAUAACAUAAAUCAACCCUUCACUUAAUCAAAGAUUAACAUGUACCAUUAAAAAAAACAAAAAGAUCCAUUGUAAGAGUUUAUGUACAGUUAUAUAAUUACAAUUGUACAAAUAUGCAUUAAUUAUUCCAUCUCUUUCUCUGAUCUUCACCCAACCCAAAAAUUUCAAAAAAGAUAUACCUACAAAAUUUUCUUUUCUUUUUCUUUUUCCUUUUUCUCAUCUAUAUAUUCAUUCCUCCAAAUUUUUUUAUUUUUAUUUUUUUCAAUUUUUCUACAUUUAACUUAAACAUCUUGAGAAUUAUCAUCAGAGAGAGGAAAACAUGUAUCUUCACCACCAGUAUUCCAUAGAAAAUGAGCAUAAUUUGCAGCAUAAUAA
Molecule: long non-coding RNA, 535 nt
Filed under: Trifolium pratense (red clover)
Lineage: Eukaryota; Viridiplantae; Streptophyta; Magnoliopsida; Fabales; Fabaceae
Description: long non-coding RNA (TPRA_LNC008301)
Source: RNAcentral